GUGGGACAGAAACUUCUAUCAACAACACUCACAUGGGAAACUGCCAUACAGUCUCAGCUCACAGCUAUAUGAGAGCAGCAGCAGCCUUCCUCACCCGGGUUUGCACCGCCUGUGUUCUCUAUGCAGACAUGCUACACAAUGAUGGCCAGCCUUACACUUCAAUCUCAAUGUCAGCAGACUUGAAGAAUGCCGGCAUAUGAAGAUCACUGGACUAAUGAGACAUCUGAGGAUAAAGGAAAAAUCAUCCAGAGAAAAUGCCCCAAGAAAAAGAGUCAAUUAGCUUAUCGGUAUAUUACAUUUCCAACAGGAUAUAAUUUCAAAAAAUCUUCCCAAACUUUGUUUCUUCUGUUCUCUACAAACUUAUAAUGCAAAUGGUCUUUUUAUAGUUCCAGUCCAAUUAAAAAUUAAAGCUGACUUUGAAGUUGGA
This is a long non-coding RNA of Mesocricetus auratus (golden hamster), 427 nucleotides long. RefSeq lists it as uncharacterized. The record is from RefSeq and is a predicted model, not a curated record. NCBI's taxonomy places the organism in Eukaryota, Metazoa, Chordata, Mammalia, Rodentia, Cricetidae. The transcript is spliced from 2 exons.